Molecule: ribosomal RNA, 253 nt
Filed under: uncultured bacterium
Lineage: Bacteria
Description: partial 16S ribosomal RNA
Rfam family: Bacterial small subunit ribosomal RNA
Source: RNAcentral
UACGUAGGGUGCGAGCGUUGUCCGGAAUUAUUGGGCGUAAAGGGCUCGUAGGCGGUCUGUCACGUCGGGAGUGAAAACUCGGGGCUUAACUCCGAGCCUGCUUCUGAUACGGGCAGACUAGAGGUAUGCAGGGGAGAAUGGAAUUCCUGGUGUAGCGGUGAAAUGCGCAGAUAUCAGGAGGAACACCGAUGGCGAAGGCAGGUCUCUGGGCAUUAACUGACGCUGAGGAGCGAAAGCAUGGGGAGCGAACAGG